UGUGAAUUUCUCUUUUGAAAUGCUUCA
RNAcentral lists this non-coding RNA (27 nucleotides) under Rattus norvegicus (Norway rat). The record is from RNAcentral. Lineage: Eukaryota; Metazoa; Chordata; Mammalia; Rodentia; Muridae.